ACUUAAGAUUCAUAUAUAAAGAUAUAUCUUUCAUUAGAA
This 39-nucleotide transfer RNA is filed under the name Lygus pratensis. Its description in RNAcentral is "partial tRNA-Leu". Lineage: Eukaryota; Metazoa; Arthropoda; Insecta; Hemiptera; Miridae. The record is from RNAcentral.